RNAcentral lists this ribosomal RNA (490 nucleotides) under uncultured Sphingobacteriales bacterium. Its description in RNAcentral is "bacterial SSU rRNA". It matches the Rfam family "Bacterial small subunit ribosomal RNA", at positions 894 to 1382 of the family's 1533-position model. Lineage: Bacteria; Pseudomonadati; Bacteroidota; Sphingobacteriia; Sphingobacteriales. The record is from RNAcentral.
CAGAAACUACAAAGGAAGUUGACGGGGCCCGCGACAAGCGGAGGAGCAUGUGGUUUAAUUCGAUGAUACGCGAGGAACCUUACCUGGGCUCGAACGUAAGAUGACUGUAGGUGAAAGCUUACAUCUCUUCGGAGCAUUUUACGAGGUGCUGCAUGGUUGUCGUCAGCUCGUGCCGUGAGGUGUCGGGUUAAGUCCCAUAACGAGCGCAACCCCUACCUUUAGUUGCCAUCAGGUUAAGCUGGGGACUCUAAAGGAACUGCCUACGCAAGUAGUGAGGAAGGCGGGGAUGACGUCAAAUCAGCACGGCCCUUACGUCCAGGGCUACACACGUGCUACAAUGGCCGAUACAGAGGGCAGCUACCUGGUGACAGGAUGCAAAUCUCCAAAGUCGGUCUCAGUUCGGAUCGGAGUCUGCAACCCGACUCCGUGAAGUUGGAUUCGCUAGUAAUCGCGCAUCAGCCAUGGCGCGGUGAAUACGUUCCCGGGCCUU